Molecule: ribosomal RNA, 492 nt
Filed under: uncultured bacterium
Lineage: Bacteria
Description: partial 16S ribosomal RNA
Rfam family: Bacterial small subunit ribosomal RNA
Source: RNAcentral
AGUGAACGCUGGCGGUAGGCCUAACACAUGCAAGUCGAACGGCAGCACAGUAAGAGCUUGCUCUUACGGGUGGCGAGUGGCGGACGGGUAAGGAAUACAUCGGAAUCUACUUUUUCGUGGGGGAUAACGUAGGGAAACUUACGCUAAUACCGCAUACGACCUACGGGUGAAAGCAGGGGAUCUUCGGACCUUGCGCGAUUGAAUGAGCCGAUGUCGGAUUAGCUAGUUGGCGAGGUAAAGGCCCACCAAGGCGACGAUCCGUAGCUGGUCUGAGAGGAUGAUCAGCCACACUGGAACUGAGACACGGUCCAGACUCCUACGGGAGGCAGCAGUGGGGAAUAUUGGACAAUGGGCGCAAGCCUGAUCCAGCCAUACCGCGUGGGUGAAGAAGGCCUUCGGGUUGUAAAGCCCUUUUGUUGGGAAAGAAAAGCAGCAGGUUAAUACCCCGCUGUUCUGACGGUACCCAAAGAAUAAGCACCGGCUAACUUCGUG